CAACAACAACAGAACAAGUAGUAAGUUCUGGGCUGAGCCAGGGUGCCCAUUCCAGACUCCAACUAUGUAACUAUAAAGAAUUAAGGUGAUUUUUCUUAGGUUUAGAUCAACCUCAAAAUACAGAACCUGGAUGAUGCUGGACAUUUGCAAUCCCCCCAUGAAUGGAUCGAUGCAGUUCUAAGUACCCAGAACACACUGUGGUUUCAGAAGAGCCAGUGCUUUCACAGCUCCAGGCCGCCUGCAACAGAGAUGGGGACAGGGAGCACCCAAAUGGUUGAUAAUAAAAAGCUA
Molecule: long non-coding RNA, 291 nt
Filed under: Homo sapiens (human)
Lineage: Eukaryota; Metazoa; Chordata; Mammalia; Primates; Hominidae
Description: HSALNT0052745
Source: RNAcentral